ACAGCCACAGGGGUUUUAAUGACUAAUACUUUUUUAAUUGUUUGUAUAUUUAUGAAUAUUGUUUAAUGUGGUGUUGAUUCAAGGCUCUCUGUUCUGUUCACAGGGACUGACAGGACCUCCAGGGAAGCCGGGCCUGCCAGGCAAGAGAGGUCCUAGGGGUGACCCUGGUCCCCACGGAAAUCCUGGCCGGCCUGGUCCCCCCGGACUCAAGGGGAGAAAAGGAGACCCUGGCAUGUCACCUGGUCCAGCACCUAAAGGAGACAAGGUAUUAUAGCCCUCAUUUUCUAAGAUGCUACAAUCGUUUCUUACAACUUUCUGUUCUCACGCGUUUUGUCGCCAUGUUGACGCCAAACUUUUUGCCUUCACGUUUCAGGGGGACUUUGGGAUCAUUGGUCCGGUUGGACAGACUGGCCCAGCAGGACGAGCGGGUCAGAAAGGUUUCCCCGGUCCACCUGGCCUCCCCGGGGAGCCCGUAAGUACAAGACUUACUUAUUAACCUAAUUAAAUUUUGCAUCAUAGUGCGAUUGCAUGAAAAACACCUCCUUCGUGGCAUCUGUCCGGUCGCCUUUAUGCGUGUGCAGCCCACCAUCCCUUCCCUCGUCGUCGGCUAAUCCCUCAUAUCCUCACAUCUCGCCUCUUUCUUUAUGAAAGCUCAGUCGCCGCCUUAUCUCCCGGUCUGUUUGUGUGCACACACCAUGCAUGCCUUCGGGGGCAGCCAGAUUAGAUUAGCGUAAAACGAAGAACCGGUGAGGACAGACGUCUGGCCAGCGCUCCCAGCUACAACAAUGCUCUCCAGGAUCUCAACAAGUGAUGCCAAAGAGAGGGGGAAUAGGAAAAUAGAGACAGGAGCGAGCCAAGUAGGCCAACAGUGACACUUUCACUGGGACUGCAGCUUGAGGAGAGGUGUUUUUAUUUCUCCCGAGUUCAGAGCUUCAGUUAAUUAUUGUAUUUGCUGCUGUACAGUAAGAGGGAGGAGGCAUGACUCCGGCUGCUUGGACCAGCCCUGCAGGAUUAUUUUAAGUGUGGAGCAUUCGGCCUCAUAUCCAGAGUUAUUUUCAGCCAGCUGUCGCUCCUCUGUUGCUAUUACAGUAAGACCUUAGUCAUGGCAGGCACACUGGAAUAUUCUCAUCAUUGUCACAGUUUUAUGUAAGUCGCCCAUUCUCAGGGUGAUGUCACCAGAGCAGGGACUUCCCUCGUUUUCGAGCGACUCUCUCGCGUCCCUUCACUCCGUCCGUCCUCGGACGCCCCUCUCUUUCCCACAGAGUUCAUCACACCCCGACCCCGAGUCUGGAUAGUCAGAGCGCUAGUGACUGAGUAAUAGGCACAACUGUUUGGAAGUGCAGGCCCUCGAGUCGUUGAGCAAAGCCCAGCUGGUGUGCAUGAAGUUACUGUAAUACACCGCGGACCGGACUCAGAGCCCCUCCCUCCUGGGAAAGAUCCAAACGUCACCUCAGCUGCUUUUCAGCUGGACUCCGUGUGCGAUAAUGAUCCUCACU
RNAcentral lists this long non-coding RNA (1496 nucleotides) under Betta splendens (Siamese fighting fish). Its description in RNAcentral is "lncRNA (ENSBSLG00000012687.1)". Lineage: Eukaryota; Metazoa; Chordata; Actinopteri; Anabantiformes; Osphronemidae. The record is from RNAcentral.